AUGUGGAUCAGCUACAUAGCAGGGGCUUGCAUCAAGGGAACCUUCCCAGAAAGAAUGUCUGGAAGAUGGACAACUCCUGGCAAGACAUGGGAUGAAGAGAGCAGUGAAGCCAGUGCAGGUCCCUGUGUCCAAGGGGCAGCCAUUCUAUCUGGCAAGCAAAAUGGCAGUGGGGAGCCAUCCCCCCAAAAGGAGACCUUGGUGCCCUGGCCCUUCCUCCUCCUUGUGGUGAUUUUGAGGCCUGGGGACCAGCUCUCAGCAAUGCCAUGUUUUGGUCACCGUAGGACACUUUUGGAGUCAUAUUGCAGUGGCCUCCAGUUAUCACGAGCCACCUGAGUUCUGUUAUGAGCCCUAUAGACCCCAGUAUAUAGGGGGACCCUGGAGCACAAACAGCGGUUGCUAAGUUACUUGGGAUUUGGACUCUAAGAGCACGUGGAUGUAAGGAAGACCAUCACAGCAAAUUGUCUGCCCACCUUUGUGGGACACAUUGAGGAGGUUCUUCAAACAAAGGAGGAUAGACCUUCUACUACUCAAGAAGUGGCUGAUGGGGAGGCUCCACACCAUUGAGCCGACAGAGUUGUACCUAUCUGAGACCGAUAUGGAGCCCAUGGAAGUGGAUGCAGAACCAUCACCGACCCUUUGCUCUCAGCAUGGGAGGAGACCCAGACCCAGCCCCUACUGUUACAGGGACACAGGAUUCUGUCCACGUCCCUCCAAAUGGCCACCUUGAUCCUGGCAAUGAACUUAUUAAUGUUGUAGAGCCCCAAAUUCAGGACAAUCCUGUGGGCUGACAUUGGACAUUCAUUUCCUGGCGAUUCUUCUUUUGACAGCCAAGGAUCCUAUGAGCUCAUGCUUCCUGUACACUAUCCUUGUCCCUCCCAAAAACCUGGCAAGUUUUUGCAUUAAGUGCUGAUGAAGAGGAGAGGGCACUGGUGUACUCAGUGCAGGUAUGCUAGAGCAAUAGCAGAGGGACCAAAGCUCCAAGUGGCCUUGAGGAGGUUUCAAAAGAAGUUACAGAAGCAAUAACUGUAAAAAAAAGUACAAAAUAAUAAAACCACCACCAACAAAAAAUACGAAAGCA
RNAcentral lists this long non-coding RNA (1078 nucleotides) under Numida meleagris (helmeted guineafowl). RNAcentral describes it as "lncRNA (ENSNMEG00000000409.1)". Lineage: Eukaryota; Metazoa; Chordata; Aves; Galliformes; Numididae. The record is from RNAcentral.